RNAcentral lists this ribosomal RNA (393 nucleotides) under uncultured bacterium. RNAcentral describes it as "partial 16S ribosomal RNA". It matches the Rfam family "Bacterial small subunit ribosomal RNA", at positions 523 to 918 of the family's 1533-position model. The record is from RNAcentral.
AUACGGAGGAUCCGAGCGUUAUCCGGAUUUAUUGGGUUUAAAGGGAGCGUAGGCGGACGCUUAAGUCAGUUGUGAAAGUUUGCGGCUCAACCGUAAAAUUGCAGUUGAUACUGGGUGUCUUGAGUACAGUAGAGGCAGGCGGAAUUCGUGGUGUAGCGGGGAAAUGCUUAGAUAUCACGAAGAACUCCGAUUGCGAAGGCAGCCUGCUGGACUGUAACUGACGCUGAUGCUCGAAAGUGUGGGUAUCAAACAGGAUUAGAUACCCUGGUAGUCCACACAGUAAACGAUGAAUACUCGCUGUUUGCGAUAUACAGUAAGCGGCCAAGCGAAAGCAUUAAGUAUUCCACCUGGGGAGUACGCCGGCAACGGUGAAACUCAAAUGAAUUGGCGGGG